GUUUAAGCAGCGUCAACGUUUCUGUUACUCUCAGUUAAAUCAAUGCCAAUCAGAGAGUGCAGAUUGAGAAACAUCAAAAUUUUCCAAAAUUCUAUGGGUUUUAUUCAUAUCAAGUUGUCAUCUUUACUUUCAGAUGAAGGAGAGCUUUAGAAAGAUGUGUUUGUUGUCUGCGUGCUUCAUUGCAACAGCCCUGCCACACUAGGAGGAAGACAGGUUUUGGGUCCUGUCUUGGUGAUAAAGGUAAAACUAAAGGACAAUCAAAUCUCAUCGAACUUCUCUCUGAGGAGCUGAUGAUGUUUCAGAAACAGUGACAAAGUUCAGAAUCCCAUUCUUCCAUCCUAGAUGGGAAACAUCAACUUUCCUGAUGAAGAGUGUCUGGCAUACUAUAUGCUAAUCCAACAGGACUGUGGUCUUAUAAGAAGAGGAAGACUCUCUCUCCACCAUGAGAAGACACAAUGAGAAGGCUGCCAUCUGCAAGCCAGAAGGAGAGCCCUCGCUGGGAGGUCAGCCAUGCUGGCACCCUGAUCUCAGACUUCCAG
RNAcentral lists this long non-coding RNA (539 nucleotides) under Pan troglodytes (chimpanzee). RNAcentral describes it as "long non-coding RNA NONPTRT007585". Lineage: Eukaryota; Metazoa; Chordata; Mammalia; Primates; Hominidae. The record is from RNAcentral.